Zea mays is the source of this 1563-nucleotide long non-coding RNA. RefSeq lists it as uncharacterized. The transcript has 5 exons. NCBI's taxonomy places the organism in Eukaryota, Viridiplantae, Streptophyta, Magnoliopsida, Poales, Poaceae. The record is from RefSeq and is a predicted model, not a curated record.
CUGUCAACUUAUAUAAAAUCUUUACUACUAUUAAGGCUGUAAGGGGUAGGUUGCCUCCCCUGGUUCUGCCUUCGGUGAAUCUGCACCGUCCGCUCGCUUCCGUAUAUCUACACCGUCUGCCUGCCCACUUUUUUAUAACUUGAGGAUUUAUGCUGGGAUUAUGUGAGAUGUGAUCGACCUGUUUUGGGAAAUAUUUGUGCAGGUAGAGCAGAUUUGGAAGGUUGCAGGGAGUGAAGUGUGUGAUUGCAGGGAGGAACCUUUACAUGAGGUUCAGCUGCAGCACAGGCGAUGCCAUGGGGAUGAACAUGGUCUCCAAAGGUGUACAGAACAUGCUGGACUACCUCCAGGCUGACUUCCCUGAUAUGGAUGUCAUCAGCAUAUCAGACGCAGUUAAUGCUUAAUCCUCAGAGCUACAUAUAACCAAGUGGUGCUUACCUGGAUUUGAGGACCUCUGAUGCUUGUUUGUCUCAAGAGUGCUGGUCGGUUCCUGUUGGCUAUAAGAUAUUCAGAUAGUGUAUGCCUGUCCAACUGAAAUGCAGUACUCGCGAUCCAACCUAUUUGGGAUGCAGUACUCGCGCAAGCGCUACUUCGUGCUCGAGGACGCCGCGCUCCGCUGCUUCAAGUCUGCGCCGUCCUCCAAGGGCGAGGUACCCUAUUGCCACCACUGAAUAACUACAGGCCCCCUCCAAUCAUGUUUCGUUGUUUUUCCCUGAUCCGUAAUUUGAUUUUAGUUGUCUUUUGUGCUUCAAGUCUGCGCCGUCCUCCAAGGGCGAGGUACCCUAUUGCCACCACUGAAUAACUACAGGCCCCCUCCAAUCUUGUUUCGUUGUUUUUCCCUGAUCCGUAAUUUGAUUUUAGUUGUUUUUUGUGCUCCGUGAUUUGAUUUUGGAUAGUGAAGAUAAACUGAUGCAUAAUCCAGCACUUGAUCCGAGGCCAGCUUCUGUCGAGCGACUGAUGCGAAGACAUCUCUGUAUCUGAGUCCUUAACAUCCUGUAAUGGUUUUGACCAUUGUUUUCUAUUCUUGUGCUAUUGAAUUGCAUCUCUAUAUUUUUCUUUGUAGUAUCUGAUGGCGAAACCUCGAAACAAUCUUAGAACACAUUUCGACACAUUGCUAGCAGCACUUUGAGUGAUAAGUAUAUUAUUUUCUAAUGAUGCUGCAAUUAUGAUUCAAUUCUACAAGGUGUGAUGGCAGCUGAGCUAUGUUUCUUCAACUAACCAAAAGUACACUCGUGGAAAUGAAAAUGUGUUUGAUGCCUUUUUUUGCAGCGCUACGCGCUGCGCAGGUGGAUUCUUUCAUGGUGUUCGCAGUCUAAGUUUCGGGGUUGACCUUCAAGAAAUAAGGCUGAUGGGUGUACUGCAGAGAAUUGCAAUAACUUAUCUACUGACCGCCCUCUGUGAGAUUUGGAUCCGAGGAGAUGAAGAUGUAGACUAUGGAUACGAUUUGCUCAAGCGAUACCGCUACUAGCUGUGAGUUUAGUUAGACCAAAAGUACUCCCCUUUCUGCACUAUGGGAAGGAUCACGAGCCUAGGCUACUAACGACAAGCAGGCCUUCACCGCUGCGC